Protopterus annectens (West African lungfish) is the source of this 147-nucleotide long non-coding RNA. RefSeq lists it as uncharacterized. NCBI's taxonomy places the organism in Eukaryota, Metazoa, Chordata, Ceratodontiformes, Protopteridae. The transcript has 2 exons. The record is from RefSeq and is a predicted model, not a curated record.
UAUGUUUUUAGCCCCUCUGAGGUACUGCCUUAGUAAUGGAUGAGAAAAAAUAGGUGGUUCUGUAUUGUCAUGAGCUGAAAUGGCAGAGGCAUGAAUUUUAAUUGAUGAAAAGGAAAGGCCUUUAUCCAGCAUCUCAGUUAAGUAUUG